Molecule: long non-coding RNA, 1110 nt
Filed under: Piliocolobus tephrosceles (Ugandan red Colobus)
Lineage: Eukaryota; Metazoa; Chordata; Mammalia; Primates; Cercopithecidae
Description: lncRNA (ENSPTEG00000020261.1)
Source: RNAcentral
AUAUGUGCAAGUUUAUUUCUGGGCUCUGUAUUCUGUGCCAUUGAUCUAUUUGUCUAUUAAGUACUAUAGUUUUAUAGUAAGUCUUAAUGUCAGGAAUAUAGGUCUUUCAACUUUGCUAUUGUUUUCCAAGAUUGUUUUGGAUAUUUUAGAUCCUUUCCAUUUCCAUAUACAUUUUAGAAUCAGUUUGUCCAUUUCUCUUUUAAAGACCUGGUAGUAUUAUGACUGCUAUUGUAUUGAAUCUAUAGAAGAAUUCUGGGAGGAUUUACAUCUUAACAAUAUUGUGUCUUCUAACUCAUGAUCAUGGUAUAUCUAUUUAUUUCAGGUUUUUAUUUGUUUUUUAAAGAUGGAGUUUCAUUCUGUCACCCAGGCUGGAGUGCAGUGGCAUAACCAUGGCUCACUGCAGCCUCAACCUCCCAGGCUCAAGCGAUCCUCCCACUUCAGCCUCACAAGUAGCUGGGACCACAGACAAGGUCUCUCUCUGUCAUCCAGGCUGGAGUGCAAUAGCAUGAUCAUAGCUCACUGAUACCUUGAACUCCUGGGCUCAAGGGAUCCUCCUGCCCCAGCCUCCCAAGUAGCUGGAACUACAGGUACACUUCAUGAUGCCUAGCUAAUUGUUUUUUAAUUUAAUUUAAUUUUAUUUUAUUUUAUUUUAUUUUUUGUAGAAAUGGGAAGGUCUCGCUAUGUUGCCAGGACUGGUCUUGAACUCCUGGCUUCAAGAGAUCCUCCUGCCUCAGCCUCCCCAAGUGCUGCUAUUACAGGCAUGAGCCACCACGCCCAGCCAUUCUCUCUUAAUUGAGAGCAGUCUAUGCCUCGCAUUUUGUUUGUCAAGCCAUUGACUUAUUGCAGAAAGUGAAUCAGUGAUCCUGUAGAAUAUCCCACAUUUUAGAUUUGUUUGUUUUCUUUUUUAUGCUGUCAUUUACUUUAUUCCUCUAUAUCCCAUAUUUUUCUAUAAUGGAAGUUAGCUUUAGAAGCUUGAUGAUAUUCAGGUUCAACUUUCUUCAUUUGGUCAAUAAUAUUUAACAGGGGUAACUGUGUAUUUUACUUUGAAUCACAUCUGGAGGCACACAUCCAUUCCAUUUUUAAUAAAUGAGUAACAUCUUGAUUCCUUCA